RNAcentral lists this ribosomal RNA (253 nucleotides) under uncultured prokaryote. Its description in RNAcentral is "partial 16S ribosomal RNA". It matches the Rfam family "Bacterial small subunit ribosomal RNA", at positions 524 to 776 of the family's 1533-position model. The record is from RNAcentral.
GACGAAGGAUGCAAGCGUUAUCCGGAUUCAUUGGGUUUAAAGGGUGCGUAGGCGGCCAGAUAAGUCAGUGGUGAAAUCCUGUUGCUUAACAACAGAACUGCCAUUGAUACUGUUUGGCUUGAGUACAGAUGCUGUGGGCGGAAUAUGACAUGUAGUGGUGAAAUACAUAGAGAUGUCAUAGAACACCGAUUGCGAAGGCAGCUCACAAAACUGUAACUGACGCUGAGGCACGAAAGUGCGGGGAUCAAACAGG